AUCAAUCAAGAAAGAAAAUUUAGCAACUAAGCAUGUACAAAAUUCAGAGACUAUCCAGCAAUUUAGAACAGCUUUAGAACCCCAGGAACAACAGUUUUAGAACAGCUUUAGAACAAUGAUGAUCUACAGUUUUAGUACACUGCAGCUUUGACAACGAUCUAUAGUUUAGAACACUGCAGUUUUAGAACAGUGCAGUUUUAGAACACUGCAGUUUUGGCUAUUCUAAAACAGUUUUAAAACACUGCAGUUUUGGCUGUUCUAAAACAACAGCUUUAGAGUUUACCUUCUCUGCUCGUACUGAAACUGAAGCCGCCGCCACCGCUGCCUGUANNNNNNNNNNNNNNNNNNNNNNNNNNNNNNNNNNNNNNNNNNNNNNNNNNNNNNNNNNNNNNNNNNNNNNNNNNNNNNNNNNNNNNNNNNNNNNNNNNNNUAGUUCGCUACUGCUCUGGACACAUUGGUUGACCGGCGUGUGUCCUUCUUAGCUGCUGUGUCUGUCCUUUCUGGGGAAAUGUCACACGAUGUAAUGGAGUCCUUGUAGCUUGCUACGACUCGUCUACAUCCGCUGGUGACCGACACCUGCUUUGCUGGGUCAUGUAUGUCUGUCCCUGUGCGGAACUGCCACUUUGGUUUAUGACUAGACAUGUCGAUCCAGGUUCUUUGUCAUUGGAUUGCUAGCGACACAAUUGCAUACGUGAGUCAAAAGGUGCAAACGGUCUCGGCUAAGGUAAGACUGCAGCCGUGGGGUUAACCGUGCGUGAGACCGCAAAGGGAUGCGAUGUGUUACAGGCUGGAUUCCUAUGGCUUAGGAUCGAGGUCCCGACACCCGCGCCCUGCUGCUGCCGUCGCCGUCCCAUCUGUGCCAUGCUGUAGAAAAGGGAACGAGACGAGGAGAUGGUGAGGUGAGGUGGGGAGGGAGAACUUGUGCAAGGAAUGAGUGGAACUACCAACCUGGGAUAGCCCGGUGCUGGAUCCGAAGGCUGCUGGACUCGCCGUCGCCGGAGAUGAGGUGGCGGCCGAAAUCCUAGCUAGCCAUGAGGAACAAUGGAGGGCGGGAGCGCAGAUUCUGGGCGAAGAGGAAGGAGGUGUGGAGCUUGGGGAGCUCGGGGGAGUGCUUCCCGUUGUCGGAGCUCACUGUAAUAGGACAGCGUGGGUGGUGGCGGCGGCGAGGGAGAGGGGAUCGUAGAGAGUGAGGAGCCAGGUCACGAGAUAGAGAGGAGGGGGAUGACGCUGGAGUUAGGUGGGCUCUCUCUCUCUCGUGGGCUCAUAUUUUUUCUCCUUUUCUGUAUGGAUGGAGGGAGGGAUGUGGGGGUGGAGAGCUAGAUGGAUAUAUGAAUGGAUAUGCGCCACAUCAUCGAUCCGUGGAACAAACGUUUCCACCAAUAGGAAUCAAGCUCAUGCAAUUUUGUUCUUCUUUUUAUUUUUCUUCUAAUUUUUUCUACCCUCUUGACCGACGAAGGAGGGCAAGUACUAACUGCAUCCACAUCGGUGAAGGAUCUGGCGGCCUCUGGCCUCAUCUCCAUCGAAGAAGCACUGAGGUGAAGGCCACCAAAACCCUAGCCACAAUAUUUCCACGAAUGAGAAGUAACCUAUUGUGUGGCUGUUUCCACCCUCAAGUGAAGACGACGGUGCCGUUCAUGAAGGGGGUCACACUCCGGAGCCACGUGUCGGACGUCUAAAGCUAUUUUUGCCAUUUAAACAGUUUUCCGCCGAAUCAUAACGAAAUCAGAUGGAAUCGGAAGGAAAUCGGUCAAACAAUUUUGCACAAAGGUGCAUCUUGGAAUGGCAAACAAUGUUGCUAAAGGGAGUUUUCAUUUUGUUUGGACGUAAAAUUCAUUUUCCAUUUGUGGCCUUGUCGACACCUAUAGAAGACACAUAGGCGAAAUUGUUGAGUUUUCUGCCCAGUCACCUGUAUUUAAGCCUAUGACCUUCUUAAUUUUGUCAUGGAGGACCUACAAUGCAGGCAUAAAUAGAGCUACACAUGCGAGUGACCAUUUUGGGCAAUGGGAUUAUGACCUUCUUGAUAGAGAUGGUCAAAAUUUUAUACGGUUUGGACCCUCUUAGACACCUCAUGACCUUUUUUAUAUUUUAGUCAUAGAUCUAUGACCAAUAAAACCGUUGUCAAUAUUUUUUGUCAUAAACAAGCUUAUUUCUUGUAGUGACAAAGAGCUUGCACCCAAUGCUAUAAAGGGGUUGUCAAUCCCUUCAAGAUUGAUUGCAAAGUGAGAUCUGAAGGCGCAAAGUGCAACGAAGUAAAAGAGUAAGGCUGAAAAUAUGGUGUGAAGUAGACCCGGGGGCCAUAGUGUUCACUAGAGGAUUAUCUCAAAGUAGCAAAUAUUACGGUGGGUGAACAAAUUACUGUCGAGCAAUUGAUAGAACCGCGCAAAGUCAUGACGAUAUCUAAGGCAAUGAUCAUACAUAUAGGCAUCAUGUCCGAGACAAGUAGACCGAUACUUUUUGCAUCUACUACUAUUAUUCCACACAUCAACCGCUAUCCAGCAUGCAUCUAGUGUAAUGAGUUCAUGACGAACAGAGUAAGGCCUUAAGCAAGAUGACAUGAUGUAGAGGGAUAAUCUCAACCCAAUGAUGAAAACCCCAUUUUUUACCCUUGUUGGCAACAACACGAUGCAUGCCUUGCUACCCCUUCUAUCACUGGGUGAGGUCACUGCACGGUAUGAACCCAAAACCAAGCACUUCUCCCAUUGCAAGAAUCAUAGAUCAAGCUGGCCAAACAAAACCCACAACUCGAAGAGAAUUACAAGGAUAUGAAAUCAUGCAUAUAAGAGAUCAGAAGAAACUCAAAUAAGAUUCAUUGAUAAUCUCAUCAUAAAUCCACAAUUCAUCGGAUCUCGACAAACACACCACAGAAGAAGAUUACAUCGGAUAGAUCUCCAUGAAGAUCAUGGAGAACUUUGUAUUGAAGAUCCAAGAGAGAGAAGAAGCCAUCUAGCUACUAGCUAUGGACCCGUAGGUCUAUGGUGAACUACUCACGCAUCAUCAGAGAGGUCAUGGUUUUGAUGAAGAAGCCCUCCAUAUUCGAACCCCCCUCCGGUAGGGCAUUAGAACGUGCCCCAGAUGGGAUCUUGCAGAAAUAGAAGCUUGCGGCGGCGGAAAAGUACUUUCGAUGAUCUCCUGAUGUUUUUGGAAUUUUUGGGAAUAUAUAGGCGAAAGACCUAGGGCAGAGGUGGCCCAGGGAGCCCACAAUCCUGGGAGGCGCGGGCCCCCUGGCCGCGGCUAGGGGGCUUGUGGGGUCCGUGGUGAUCCCCUGCCUUGGUUCUCAAGUUCCCCGAUCUUCUUCUGUUUAGGAAAAAAUCUUUUUGGAAGUUUCGUUCCUUUUGGACUCCGUUUAAAAUCCUCCCGUGAAAAGGGUCAAAAACACAGAAAAAACUGGAACUGACACUUGGCACUGAGUUAAUAAGUUAGUCCCAAAAAAGAUAUAAAACACAUACAAAACAUCCAUAGUUUGACAAGAUAAUAGCAUGAAACCAUCAAAAAUUAUAGAUACGUUGGAGAUUUAUCAAUGCCCUUGUUUUCCAUAGACAUGAUGGGUGGUGGUCAGGGUGGACUAUUGGCCAUAUUCCAACGACUUAAAGUCGUUUCCUAUGGACAUAAUUCGACCAUCUUAGGGCUCGGUGAAGCUUUGGGGUUUUAAGGAACUUGGGAUGUGAGUGAACAUCUAUCAUCUUAUCCCUAAGCACAUUCCUGAGAUGUCAAUAGUCUAACCUUUAUCGCCGGACAAUGAUCACCCUAUAUCAUCGAAAGUGCCAACUCACACAAGUCAACCCACCUCACUCAAGCUAGUCAACACCAGGGUUUGAGGAAAAGACCUCGACCUAAAUCUCAUAGGUAUACUAUAACUAAGUUACACAUGCAUCCCUAUGUAAAAAUCCUCGGGAGAGCAUACAAGCUUCUAAGCUUGAAUUAAGACACCACAAAUCCAAGUGUUCAGCUAGAUCAUCAAAUGGACAGGGUACUGCAUUCCUAUAUUAAGGAAACUCAUAGUAUACCAAUCCAAGGUCUGGUUUUCUUCCUACGAAUCCAAUCAGGUGGUCCACCAUAUUGAUCACCAUUGGACCCAUCACUCCUACAAUCCGAUAUCGAUGGGGUUGUACCCGAUCACUUAGAGUCCACAUAAUUCACAUAUUGUUGCAAGGACUAUGUCAUAGUGUAUCCACCAACCUCCAAUAUUAUGGCCAACUAAUCUCCAAGGCCAAACUUAUAUAGGUUCAUAAUUUAAUUCUACAACUCCAAUUACUACUACUUGUUAUCCACUGAGAAACAUGUUAUCAUGAUCGAUAUCGUCGGACUAAAUCCGAUUUACUCCGAACCAUGUGGUCUCUGUCAUCAUCGAUGCUCUACUGAGAUUACCUAUUUAAACCCAAAACUCAGGUCCAAUAAGAACUUUUACUCGCUAAUCCAAUACAUUAUGGUAACACCAUCAAACCAUGACUACUAACUGAUAAAGCCAAUUUAUUAUAUCACCAAGAAUUUAUCUCAUGAUCAUAAUUGUCCUACUUGACCCAAACUUACUCCGGUAUCAUGUAGGUUAUGCUACUACAUCAACUUGUUCCACCAAGAUAGUCCAUCUAUAACCCCGUGACACCUAUCAUCAUCACAACAAACCGUUGACUACAAAGUGUAUAUCCGAGAAUGAUCGUUCCUAUGCCAUCAAGGUUCCGGUGCUAGCUUUAAGAAAGAAGGAUACUUGUUCACUGUAAUCACUUGUUCCAUAAAGAACCAGUGCUAAGUAGGGUUUAUUGGAGCUCAAUAGGUGCUCUGGCAAAUCCGUGUAUUAGACACGUGACCAGAAGUUUGAGCUGGGGAAGCUUGUGAGGGUUUAGUUGGUCUAGGGACGGGAUUCCAAUCUUGAGGGAUAGCAUAACUUCUAUAGGUCGCGUCCGGUUGAACACGUUACAGUAAGCGUCCUACGUGUCAGUCGUCUGCCGAAGUGAACCCUUGUGGCAUCUUGUCUUGCUGGUCUCACGCUGUCGAGAAAGGUGGAGAGAGAGAAAGUAGCAUAGAGGGGAGUGCGGAAGAGGGUGGUAUGGUGCAAGUGCAAUCAAACAAGUGUCGCAAGGCCAACACGAACAUCAAGAGGAGGCAGGUGAUAUAGUCACACACUCAUUGCCUAGGGAAAAAGUGCAAUGUAUCUCAAUGCAUAAACAAGCAAAAACAAGUAACACACAACAUGGUUCCAUCCGAACCAUUUCACGGACUCGACUUCGUAUAAGGGAUUCACGACUCAUCGUGCCCUAGGUUUUCUCGGACUCAACAGUCGUGCUUUCUUCGUAUCUUGGAGAGGAGUCCGCUCAGUCUUCUAGGCCUUCUCAUGGUGUCGUUGUGUCCCUUGUCGUUGUUUGCCGAAACGACUCGGGUUGGCUGAAAAGAGUCCUUGACAACUUCUCAUCUGGUGAACCACCGACGAAGGUGGUUCCUCAUGACUAUCGCUGACAGUGUCUUGUGUUGUCUUUGUAAUCUUGUCAUUGUCUUCUUGUCUUCCAAGGCGUGAGAGUUCCAAGUUGACAACCUUUAUGUGAUGACAUCAGCAAGGCAUGAUAGAUUUCCGACAUGUGAGUCAGGAUGAUCACAAUAUCGACAACUAGAGCGGGGGAUGAAGAGAACCAUUUUCCUGCUCACUAAGGUGAGGCGGACCAAAUGGCGAGGUUCUCAUCCAUCGGUGGUGGUUGACACAACAUUGAUAAUGACACGGGUGCUCUAUGAGCGAUGCAUAUCAUGGUCUUGCACAUAUUAUGUCCUGAUCAUCGUAGGUAAAGGUUGCAUCACUUCGGGACACUGUCGAGGGUGUCACCAUCUUCUGGGUUUCGAUGUCCUCAUUCCUCAUGGAGGUAUCUUCUGUUGGUAUCGUCUGGUCGUAGCGUUGCCAUCCUUGUAUUCCAAGUACAUGGGUGAUCAUUUGGAAAGGUUGCUCCCUUCAAGAUACCCACGAGGAUUUUAGGUAAUUCGGGGAUCAGAGGGCGUAAGGGUGCUAGCGACUGCUUGCAAGUUCGGAAAAAGUAGAUGAGGAGAGUCAAGAGAACAAGGGUGGAAUUGCUAAGGCAAAAACCUUCACCUCCUUGGAAAAUAUAAGAGAGGUGAGGAAGGUACAAGUUUUGCAAGUACUUUUGAAGGGUAUGGAAUCAGAUUUUUCCUAACUAACGUCCAUGCUAACUAACGGCUUCCUACAGUUAGGAUGUCUCUAAUACCAGCUCUUUGGGGACCCAAACUUAUGAGUUGUGGUCACCGAAUUAACGUGCUCAGUGAUUCCAGAGAUCAAUGAUCAUUGGGCACACAAAAACUGAAUAACAAGAGUCUUACAUCCAUACAUACCAUUUGAUACAAUUAAUGACCAUUGCGGUUAGGUCUUACAUAGAUAGGGCCUUGAAGACCAACACACCAAACUUGACCAGUAGCGGAAUUACUGGUCCAAAGCGUGAACCCAUGCCAUCAGCCUUAACCUACAGGCAUUCUGACUGGGAAGCGUCAUAGCUCGCAGGAAGGUCACCAAGGUACUCUUCACCAUCUCAUUCCCUCUCUUACCUGGUCAAUAAAAUAACUAGUGGCAAGCCAAUGAGUACUUUGAAUGUACUCGCAAGCAACCCAUGAUGUGGGACAGGGAAAUAAUGAAACAUGAUAUAUCACAAGUAUGCAGCCUUUGCGGAAAGCAAGUUUUUCCCUAAAUGCAGUAACAUGAUCAAAUGCUUCUACGGAUAUGCAUCAUAAGGUAAGCGGUAACCUUGUGAACAGGUUAGACAUAUCAAUAUCAACUCAGGGCUGAACAUUCCAUGCUCACCCAUCAUGCCAAGUCAUCUGACUUGACUCAAGUAACAUCUCUCUCGUGUAACACCUUUAAUACACACGCACACUUGGUUUACACGAAAACGAUUGGACGUAGUUUAAGAAGCACCACCCAACUAUCCUUGACCCUGGACACGGCUAUUCGAAUAGUUUUACACUCUGUAGAACUUGUGUGUUGUACCCACGAGAUUCGAGAAACUUCCGUGUCAUCCACGACUCGCGGUAUAUAACAUACCCGAGGUUAGCACCGGAACAUUGCCUUUCCCCUAUCGACACUAGACAAAGAGUCCACUCGAUUGGUACCCAGCCCACAUGACAUACGUCUUACGAGCACCAACUCUAGACCAUAUCAUCCAUGCAGGGACCAAAGGUGUGGCUGGAAAAUGUAAAAAUGGCAUAGUCACCCUACCUCGCACAACUGUGACACGAUAGUGACCAUAUCACUCGUGCCACUAGUAAUGCGGGCUCUUUGCUCGCACCGACGAGAGUAAUCAACAAAGCCCCGUCCCAUAAAAGGAUAUUGUGGUCGCACAUGUAAGGUUGGGACGGUCGACAAAUCUUAAAUCUAAUCCCAUUUCUGAAACCACUCACACAAAACCUUUUCGGUACACCACUUCUUUCUCAAGUGUUCAUCCAGCUCAACACCAUCACCCUCGGGCAUUAGUGGCACCCGACGGGGUUUUCGGAAAAAUCUUUGUAAUCACCUCUGUGUUACCAUCACCAUGCAUGUGCUCAUACUAUGCUUAGCUCUACUCCAACCUAUAUAUUUCAUCUACAUGACCCUCAUAGAUGGUAAGUUCAUGCUCAAAUGCAAGUGCUCCAGAGGAGCUAUCGGUAACACCAUACCGAGGGUUACCGAUUUAAUCAUGAUCAUAUGCAUCGGAAGUAAUCAACAUGGCAUGCAUAAAAAUGUUUUCUCACACAUGAUCAAAGGGUUGCUUGCCUUGCUCAAUUAGGUCUCUGGGAUCUUCGAAGUCUUCUAGUCCAACUCCGAGUACUUCGUCUAUUUCGCCAACUAUCGUCAGAAACAACCACAGUAAGCCACAGAGCAAGCACGAACAAAAGUGCUCUAUAAUUAGGAGUUCUAUUUUUGUGGGACAUCUGUGGUCAUAAGAAAAAUCCCUAAAGUUGUUCUAAGAGAUAUGGAUCACAAGAGUUUUUGAAUGGAGGUAGUGGAGGCCCCACUGGCCCCACAAGAAGUAUAGAGGAAAUAUUAUGAUAAAAAUGAGUGGAGGCCAUCAUUAAAUAGGUCACGAAGUUAGAAACAUUUAGGAAGUGGUUUCACUAGGUUUGGAGUUGUUAUGAAUUUCCUAUGGAUUUUAUAACAUGGAAUAGAUAGCAAUAAGAGGCUAUAUAUAUGGUGCAACAUAAAUGUUGCAGAUAAAAAUGUUCACCUAAGCUAGGAAAUUAGUGCAUGAUUUUAGAAGCCUCUGAAAAUAGGAAUCACUCCAUUUGAAGCUGAAUUGAGUCCUCUAGCAUUUUUACAAAGUGAGUUCAAAUAAAUGAAAUUCAUGCUUGAAUUUGACCUCUGCACAAAAUUUCUCUGGAAAAAUGUGGAAUACACAUAUUUGAAUAGAUCUGGUAUUUAGGAGUCUACACAAAUUUGAAUCACCUAAUUUGGAGCUAAUAUGAAUUAGAUGUGCGUUUUUGAAAUUCUCCUAAAAAUAGAAUGGAGCAAAGAGCUACACCAUGGGAGCUAUAACGCACGAGGGCGCAAGAUAGCUCCUGGGCCGGCCCAGGCGCGUAGGCUUGGGGCGACGUCAAAGGUGCACUCUACGACAUACGUCUCCCACGUGGGGAGGCGACAUCCGACCGGAGGCACGGCCACUAAACUGGUAGCCCCGGGUCAUAGCCGCUAACCGAGGGAGCCCGCCCGUCAGCUCCUUCGUCAUGCUCUCGCUCGACACAUAGGAGGGCACGGGAGGCUGGCCGAGCUGGCGCUGGUGCCCGCUCUGGUGGCUCCGGCCUCCUCCGGCGGAGCUCCGGCCACCGGCGGCUCGGGGAGGCCUACCGCACACGCCAGGGCCCUCAUUCCCGUCGGGAGAGCACCGGGGAGAGGGAAUCCUAGCCGCGGUGGAGAUCGGCUUGGGUGCUCUUGGGGGCAAGGCUCCGGUCACCGAAAGGAAGGAGGGAGGAGUGCUAGAAGCUUACGGUGUGGCUGGGAUGCUCUGGGAGGUGCUAGGGAGAGAGAAGGAGGCCGGGAGAGCUCGGAUUUGAGUGAGGCCACGGCGGCACCCAGCGGCCAUUGGGGAGGAAGAGAGCUCGGGAAGGAGAUUGGGAAGGUCCGUGAGGUUGCCAGGAAGGUAGGGAAGUAGGAAGGAUGUAGCAGGGCUCGAGGGAGCGGCUAAAACGGAGGGGGCACCGAAGAGGACCUCGGAUGCUCUGGGCAUGGGAGAGCACGGGCGCCAGAGCCAUCUUGCCCUCUUCCUGGCAUCGGGGAGGGCCUGAUUGGUCAAAGGGGAGUGCCCUGGCGCUCUGGGCCACGCUGCCUUUGUUAGACCUGAACUGCAACAAGGGGACAAGGUGCAGAGCACCACUUCUGCAUGUCAUGGAGGUGGUCACCACGGCCAUGCAUGUCUACAAUGGCUUUACGACCAGUCAAAGAUGUCUGGCACCCAAGGCAUGCAUGAAGGGUUCUGAUGGUGGAGUUUGGACCCAUAUGGAGGUGGUUUGAAUUGGUUUCUACUCUGAUUAGGUUUGUAGCAGCAAACUUGGGGCUAGCAAAAUUGGUAUCCAGAAGGGGAAUCUUGGGAUGAAACCAUGUCUAGCAAAUUUAUGUAUGGAAGGACUACAAGAGUGCAACGUUUCGGAUCAAGGAUGGAUGUGUAGCUAGCAGUUGCAGUUCAAGGUCAAAUUUCUGCCAAAAACAAGUUUUAGAAUGGCUGCUCAUAUUUCCAACAUGAUCAUGCCAUAUUUUGGUUUGGGAUGAUGCAUUAGCAUGCUAGAGGUUCUCUGGAAAUAGGUGGAAGCAUUUGCUUGAGCAGAGUACAACAAGAGGGGUAAAACUAGUGAUGUGAAGGUAAAAAUGAAAGGUAGAGGGGUGGAGUCACCCUCCAAUAAUUGACCAGAGGCCAUGGAAAGGUUACUGGAGGUAAAAGAGGACUAGAGAGAGCUGUGGUAAAAAUUUAAGCUCAAGGAGAUUAGUGCAAAGGGGCCAACCUAGCAACUUUGGUAAAUGGACAGAAGGUGUUUGAUGGUUUCUAGGACUAUCAAAUGGACUCCAUUUUCUAUGAAACUUAGCAGUAUCACAUAAUAGGUGAAAAUGAGCUUGGACAAUAAAUUUGGGAUUUGGUGGAGAAAGUUUCCAAUGUAGACUUGAAAACCCCAUGAAAUGGUCUGAAAUGGCUUUCUCCUAACAAAACUAUGCAAAUCAAUUCCCAGUAAUCCACAUCUUGGUUUGGUGGCAUUAUUUGAGCAUUAGAGCAUGCCCAAAAAGUAUGGUAACAAUUGGACAAACUUUGUAAUGCAAGGUUUUCCAAAGUUAGAAAUCAACACAGAAGGUUGUGAGGGGUUUGGGACAAGUUAUUCUAUUCUCCUUGAUUCACCACUUGAUGUGGAUGGAUUAUUGGAGUAUAAUAACAUGUACACAAAGUUUGAGCACAAUUGGAGACACUUGGCAAUGUAGAGUUUCUCAAAUUUGGAUCUGGACAGAUAGGGUUUUGGGAUAAUUAGGUGUAUCAAAUCAACUUGGAUUUAGAUGAAACUUGGCAAGAUCAUCACAUAUAUCAUGUGUGACAUGCUAUAAUUUUACUAGGAUUUCUUGAGAAUAUUUGUUAUAGAAAUAGUUCAAAAGCUUGAAAUGGGCAAGAAGGGUUUUGAAGGGUUGUUCCUAAUAUUUUUAACUUGACCAUGUGUUGAAACUCUUAUAUACGGGAUAUAUAUAUAUCCAAUGAGUUUCGCUAAAUUUUCUCAAAUAUUUUGGAAGCAAUAAAAAUAACUUUCCUUCAUAAGGGACCAUUUCUAGCCUCAAAGAAGGAUAUUUAAAUAAAAUAGUAAAAUAACUUUUAAAAUAAUAAUAUUGUUGAUUUGGGAAGCCAUUUUGAUAAUGGGAUUUAAAUAAAAUAUUUGGUGCAAAAUAACUUCCCUAAUUUGAGGACUUGUGGUACAAAUCCUAACUCGGGUUUUUUAAAGCUUAUAUGAGGGAAAUGCCUUUGGUCAAAAUAAUGUUUGGUAAAAAUAGUUUCUAGUCCUAUACACAUGGCAUGAUCAUUAGGAAAGGGUUUGGGUUAAGGAGGUGAGUUUGGAGAGUAGCAGGAACAUUGGAAUUUAAACACACACAAUAAGCAAGCAAGCAGCAAUCCAUCAAGCAUCACAAUGAGUCUUACAAAUUUUAAUCGGCCCUAAUUUUUUACUUAUGUUAGUUUACCUAGGAGAGUCGAAACACGGGGUGUGACAGACCUUACCCCCUUAAGAAAAUCUCGUCCCCCAGAUUUCUAUGCUAGGCAUUGGAGAGAUACAAAAUCUUGGGUCGGAGGUAGUCUUCAUGUCCCCAUGUUACUUCUGUGGGUCUCGAAGUGCUUGAUGAUACAACUUUGAGUGCUCCGCUUAUCUUCUCCUGGCCGUGAGUGGGGUUCUGGUGAUAAGUUAGGCUUGACUGGGGGUCAAAGGCUUGGUGCACUAAGUUCUCGCAAGGGUCUGACUUACAUGUGUAUCCCAAGGUCGGAAUACAUGGUAAGGUAGCGUGUCUGGUGCUGGUCUCAGGGUCGCGCACCUUGGUUAGUGACACCUAGUUGUCUCGGGUUAUAAUAGAAGGGUUUGUCGUGGGCUUUCCGUCGCGAUCCUCUGCUUGAUUAGGUCACUCGUGUAUGUCCUUCAUUCGUCUAUGUUCGUUUGUCGUCUUCAUGGACGUAUGCUUCCGGUGUGUCUUCAGAUGGUCGGCCUCCUAGCCUCUUUGUAGCUUCUCAUGGAAAGGUCCGAGUUGGGGUCUCAUCCAUGAGUCUAAGCUCGGAGACUCAGCAUUUACAAUGGGUUCUAUCAUCUAGGAAGGUUCAUGAGGGGUUCUGGAUGAGCUGGCUACCCAAGAGUAUAGACCAGUCAUCCAAUCCCUAAGGUUUGUGGCUUGGCAAGCGGGUGAUUCAAUUUUGGCAGGUUAUCACCAUGAUCCAGAUAGGACUCUCGUCCUUGAUUGGGACCAAGAAGAGGCUCUCUGAUUUCUCUCGCCGUCCAAAGGCUUCAUCGACUUGGUCGUCGAUGCUUCUUGACAUAGUUUAUGUGGCCGACGCAGGAGCGGUGGUUGUCUUCUACUGCUUCUUUUUCAUCGUCGUGGUUUCCCAACCAUUGCGGUUCUUCGCCUUGCUUGAGAUAAAUUGGCUUAUGCUGCUUUGGGAGUGUGUUGAGGAGCCCAUCCUCUCGAGAUAACACCUUACUCUUGAGAGGCAUGGUGAUCGGUGUUCCUGGGGUUGGUCCAAACAGGACUAAAGUGUUCCUCCUCUCUUUGGGUGAAUAAGUACGCCAUCCAUGAGGAUAACGACAUACUUCCCCAAGCAUCAUUUAAGCACACUAAUCAUGAGGUGGGUGAGAGGAGUGGGUGUUUGUGGUCCAACACAAUUUGGUACCUCAUGCCUGCUACGGCAACACACAACAGCGCCAGAGAUUGGCACGUUGACGGAGACUGGGCUUGUGUUGAUUUUCCCUUGAAGAGCAAAGGGUGAUGCAGCACAGGAGCAGUAAGUAUUUCCCUCAGUUUGAGAACCAAGGUAUCAUUCCAGUAAGAGAAUCUCGUCAAGUCCAGAGUACCUGGACAAACAUAGACUACAAGAAAUAAGGUUAAUUAUGACUCCCUAUAUUGGUCAUUGAUUCGUCAUUGUUCUCAUUUAUUGACCUUUUUUGACCAAAUUUACAAGGUCAACAGUUGGCCGUCAAGAAUGAACAAACAUGACCUUUCUAAAAUUUUGGUCGUAGGUCUCUAUUGACCAAAAAAUUGCUUUGGUCAUUACCGAUUUGUGUGAGCCACAUAGGAUGUGACGUGGCCAAGCGGACGUGGCAUUGCUAGUGACCAAUUGAAAUCAUCAUAAAUUUUAAAGCCCAAUCGACCAAUCUAGCUUACAUGGGACUGACCCAAUACCUAUUUAUUAUUGAAAAUGUCCGAUUUGUUUUGUUUGAAGCAUUAUUUUGCUAGAAGCAUGCAAAUUUUAAGAUAGGCCCAUUAAAAAACAAAUACAACAACAGAAUAAAAAGAUUGCAGAUAAACUGUAUAUAUCAUUUCAGUAGCACAUCACAUGAAAUACAAUACAUCAUCCACCGACUCCUCCACACAUUAAGGUUCAAGGCCUAACAAGUGCACAUCAAAAUAAUUUUACAAGUGAACAACAGAAUACUUCUACAGGUGCAAGUGCACAGAAAAAGAACCCAACAAGUGCACAAUCACACAUGAAGAGAGUUCGACAAAGAUUAAAUGAGAAGCACAAGUUUCUUCUCAUCCUCUUCCUCUGCACAAUAUGCCAUUCUUGCCAUUGACGCUUGCAAGAAGAAAAUGAUUAUUUUCCAUUGACGCGUGCAAGAAGGCAUGAUUCAGAUGUUCUGCAUGAUCAAAGUCAAGAGUCGAGAAAUGAACAAGGUCAUAGAAAACAUCAUCUAACACAAAUACAAAUUCGCAGUUACUUUCAUUGGCUGAGAGACAUUUCCAAACAAAAUAGAUUUUUCAUGCAAUUAAGUGAUACUUUGUGAAGGCUUAUUACAACCAGUAGUAACUGGUAUUCCUGUAAACAAACAGAUUUAUAUUAAGACUUGUUACAAGCAGAAGUAAAUAUAAGUAGAGGAGCCAAAUGCAUGUGAACUACCUAGGCCUAGCUCUUUUUACUAACAAAAUAACUGUGAGAAAUGAUUUUUAAAUAUAUAGUGCAAAAAAUCCUGGAAAUAUUAAGGGAGUAAGGUUGCAUCCAACAGUGGCAGACAAGGGUGCAACAUACUACUACAACUAUAAGCUAGAUACAUACUACUCUGUUUACUAUAUUAAUUUGUCUCCUCUAUUGCUUCAAUCCUAAGUUUACGGCUGAUAGGGGCCGAACAUGCUAACGGCUGCAACUUGUGAGACAUACACACAGCUAGCUGAAAUGUGUGUUGCGUCGUAAUUAACUGCGAUGCUGCUAGUCGAUCAUCAACUACUAGCUAGUGUCUAGUACUCUCUCCGUUCCGGUGCAUAAAUCAUCUUAUGAAAAUCAAAUAAUCAGAGAACACUUAAACACGGUUCAUUAACUUCUACCUCGUUUAUUGUUUUUUGACAUGAAUAAAACAAUAAACCAAUAACGUGGGACAUGUAACUAAUCACCAUGAAGUUCCUGCCGGCUUUGCUCAUUUGUCAGCUGAUGAAAUUAAACAAAGUCCUGAAGGCUUCGGAAACAACACUGCUGCACCUUGUGUGUCAUCACUACCAAAAUACAGUUGGAGAUUUCAGUGGUGGAGCGCCUACUGGCCAUACAGAAGACCAUUUCCCAUGUUAGUUAUUUACUUAGCUUUACUUAUGUAUGAAACUGAGCUUAAGCUAUUUUGCAUCUUAAACAUUGUGAUCAAAUUAUAUCAGGUAUAUUUUAAACUAUAAUUUACAUGUGUGAUGUUACUUCUCUACAUGUAUAAUUUCGUUAUCACAUUCUUUGGAAAUGUGUGGACUAGAAUUUUCCUAAAUUAAACGUAGGCAUGUGCAGCCUGGGCCUAGUAUAUCUAGGCUGGGCUCAAGCCUCAUUUUCAGUGAAAGAGCCCUAAAGAGCCUGGAGUGGUAGUUUUGGGGAUUUUUCUCACGAAAGUAGGUAUGACCAUUCAUAACUUAAUAUUUGGAAUGAUAUAUUUACUAUUUACAAACACAAAAAUUAGAGUUUUAUUAGUGCAGAUCGGGCAGGCCUUGGCUUUUGAUAGCAUUCACUGCACAAUAUUUUGCCCUUACGUACAAUGUUUUGAUAGCAUUUAGUGGUAGUUUUAUCAGUGCACAAUGUUUUGCCCAAAUAUGUAGUAGCAGCAGUAAGGAUUAUAUUACAAAUACCUUCUAAAAACAAUUUGGUAAAGUGGCAGCAGCACGGAUUAUAUUACAAGUUUCUUGUAAAAACAAUUUGGUAGUAGUAGCAGCAGCAGAUCUAAGAAGUUUUUGUUAUGAGCCUCAACAUGAACUAAAGUAAACAAAAACUAAAUAUUCUAAUCAUUGAUGCCAUUACCAUCGGAUCUCAGCACCCCACAAACAUUUGUAUAAACAAACAAAAUGGAACAUAGAGAUUAUGGUCUUUUUUCCCUCGCAUGUGUUCAGAAUUUCAAACAGGGAGAACAUGAAGGGAAGGAGCUCAUCGUGGCUAUUUUUGUAGUCGAUGCCGAACGGCACCGCUAACGCCACCGUUGCAUGGAAGCAGCAGAAAAGAGGAGCCUGGCACGAUGAACCCCUUGUAUUGAAUCAAAUCCUGCUGCACAAGAAGAACUGUAUAAAUCCAUAAAUGGCAACUAUCUGCACUGGCUACAGCUUGAUAUAACAAAUUAAGUUGUACUAGUCGUCAACCCGUGCACAUGCACGGGCUAGCUAUUUAGAAUACAUAAACAUAUACAGUUAUAAUAGUUAUUGUGUUUUCAUUUGAAUUUGACGAACAUAUAAAAUGAGUCUUCGUCGUGUCUCCAUAUAAGUAUCUAUCCGCAUACUGUUGGUUUCCUUCUCCCAUUAAAGCAAUCAUAUCCCAAAUGACCAUGCAUCGGCUCAAAUCAAUAGUAGAAACAAUGAAGAAUGAUGCUACGCACAAAGAGAAGAAAAAUGUCAUUACGAAAGGAACACAUCGUAUACAAAUCUGUCAAAAAUAACACGUCGUAGUAUUCAUAAGUAUACACAUGGAGAAAUAAUUAAUCAAUACAAAAUUACAUGGUGUUAAGAAUGAAUUAGAGGUUGGUAUAAAAUUACAACUGAACAAUUUCCUUAUAUUGUUCAUUCACAAUGCUUUCUCGCCAAGUUUGCAACAAUUAGUCAAUACAAAGACGUGUACAAUAUAAAAACAUUAGGGAACUACAUGCUUUGAGUAGUUAGAAUACCUUGCAUGCAUGUCUGGUCGAUGCAUAUGGAUCUUACACAUAUUAGUCUAGCUGUUUGACAACAUUGGCACAUUUUUACUCGAUUAUUUUCACAUCCUAUGAAGAUUAUUUUAUAGAUAAGUAAAAUACUAUGUAUUUGUGUGCAUUAUAGUUCUUCCAUUCAUUAACACACAUAUCUAUGUUACCUUCAUUUUUUCAUAAAAAAGGUUCCUCCAUUUAACCAGAAAUUUCAUUAGUUUAUUUGGUCCGAGAAUCUGAUUAGUUAUCCGAGGACCAAAUUUCAUUAGUUUAUUUGGUCCGAGUUCAGUAGAAAACCCAUUAUCUCAUGGUAAUGAAUAACCUAAAUGAACUAUCAAGAUAUUCCUUUCAUACGAAAAAACUAGCCGAACUAUAAUAAUAUGCUAAAGCUUGAACAUAAUUCUCUAAGGGAAAUUCAUUUCCUUCAUGUAACAAUCUCUCAUGUCAAAUAUUAAUAGUAAGAAACUCCACAUAUUUGUUUAAAGAUCCUUCAAUGAAUUCAAUUUUAGUGUGUGGUUAUACAAAGUCACUUAGUGCAUCAUUAUAACUAAUAAAGCCUCUAAACUCACACAAAUAGGAUUAUAAAUUGGGAACAAAUAUAUAAUAGUACAAUAACAAAAUCCAAAUUAGUAUGUUGCACUGGGUGAACUAAUUGACUUAUGAAGAAUAAUGCAUAUAACAACAUAAAACUUGCAUUUCACACAUGCUAAUGGAAGAUAUAAAAAUAUUCUAUUGUCACAUACGCAUAGUCAACGAUAGCACAUGUUGUCACCUUUAAUUGAGUUAGUUGUUAGCUGUUACUGAUGAUACUAAGAAUUUGGUACAUAUAUUAUUGGCCGACCAAAUAUUCAUAGGAGUAAAGUGGAGAAGGAAAAGACUUAUAAUAAUUAUUAUUAUUUGCGGAAAGUCGUCGGAGUAUUUUGGAAGAUAAACAACAGAGUUAACACUGUAUCUCUUUUGUUAUCCUUGAAAUUACAAUUUUGAAGUAUAUAAACGUCAUACCAAAUACCAACUUCAUGAAUUAUCACAUAUUUACUGAUAACUAAAAUACUGAGAGUAAACCAAAAGUCAAAAGCAACAUGCCAGGGUUGUUUAGACGGGUACUGAAAAAUAAGCAUUACAGAAUUAAUACAUGCCAUUAAAGAUUUUGAUUUUUGGGCUGCUGUUGAGAAGUAGGCAUCCGAGCAUUGAACCUUGGGUUAGCUAUUUGUUCCUAAUGUCAGCACACAUGGUGGAUACCUUCCUUAUUUGACCUCAUGGCCAAGAACUUGAGCAAUAACAUGUACACCACUGACCACUAUGCAGUGUUAAUGAUGAGUAGAUGGAGAUACUCACGUACCUGUCCCAUAGUUAAAGGCAAUGCAGUCUUUUCUGGAAUACUUCAAUCCACACAUCCAGCAGCGAGUUUUUUUUAGCUGAGCAACAAGAUUUUGCCACCAGGACUGCUUGCAGUGAGAAAAGAAAGGAUAACUGAAAUUCAGUAAAGAAGUUUGGUGCAGAAAGAGCACUACUCAAUGGAUGAAAAAUAUAAAUAGAUCUGAUCAUGUAGACUCAUUAUGCAUGGCCCUUCAUGUCAUCUUUUUCAACGCACUGAUAAAUUACCCUUUUUUCAGUAAAGAAAUUUGGUACACCACUGACCAUUAGCUGUUACUGAUGAUACAACGCGGCAUGCACAAGCCGGUGGCCAGCUCCAUGGCGUCGGCGCCCUUGUACACUGCAUCCAUCAGCACCACAUGUACGUCACCACAGCUCACCGCCGACCGAAGAUGGAUCCGUGGCCGCCGACCGAAGAUGGAUCCGGCUGGGCACGCCCCUACUAUCCGCCGCCUCGAGCAGGACAGGGCUGCCGGCUGGGUGCGCCCCUACUAUCCGCCUCCAAGAGCAGGACAGGGCUGCCAGCUGGGCGCGCCCCUACUAUCCGCCUCCUCGAGUAGGACAUGGCCCGCUGUCACAUCCCUGACACCUUCAUCAAGUUAGCAUUGUGCUCAUAUCUUCUUCGCAUUGCAUCUAGGAAAUUUUCAACAAGAACAAAGUAAGUGGUGAAGGAAAAUUCAAAACCCUAGCCACUUCUCAAUUCAAAGGAAUUAUAAACUUAUUCAAAUCAAUGAACCCAAAAUGGCCUCAAGAAAAGUUCAACUUUUCUGAUAAUUCUUGAAAACAAAUAAGCAAUGAAGGAAACAAUUUCCUUUAUACUUUUGGCAUUUUAAAUAAAUGCAAAAGACUACUGGUUUCAAGUUUUAAAUUUGAAGUCAAAGAUUUAUAGUUUUCAAAAAUGCUGAAAACUUUAUGGGUGAUUGGAAAUAUUCCAACUAAACACCCCAACAUUUUUCAAACUAUUUAUAGUUGUUUGUGAAGCCAAAAUAAAUGGAAAACAAUGUCAGUAAAUAAAACAGAACAAAAUAGAAGGAAAAGAGAAAAGAGAGGCUUACCUGUUAUCUAUCACCGGCCCAGCCCACCAGGGGCUCCCCGGUCAUCUUCCUCCUCCUGCCAGUAGGCAGAGGAGAAGAUGAGCACGCCGGCCAAGCCCCGGCCACCUCCUGCCUGCCUGCUCGCCGCUGGAGGCCCCCAGGAGCGCCAGCGCGACGCCCCGAGCCUACUUCUCCUCCUCCCCGCGGCCUUAUCUCCUCCCCUCGGCCUCUCGUUCCCCUUUUCCCCUCUCGGAUCUCUCUCUCCCCGAAGCUCCGGUCGCCGUCGAUCCGUCGCCUCCCGGUCCUCCCCGACCCUGCCGGCAGCUUCACAAGAAUCGCCGUGAGCUCCUCUUCUCGUUCCCCCUCUUCCCGAGGCCAUACCCCUCCUCUAACCCCGUUAGCUGCCAGAGCCCGAAGGUCCUCGUCGCCGGCCAUGUCACUGUCGUCGUUGUGGUACCCCGCUCGCGAGACCGAGCUCAGAAAUGAGCUCCUCGAGCUGUGUGGAUGUCGUAGAGCCUUUUCCCCAGCUCGCUAGUGCCCCGCAACGCCACCCCGACGAUGCCCGAGCCGCAGCCGCCGCUGACCUCGUCGCCGGCGUGGAUUCCGGUGACCACUGGGUCCAGCUCCUCCCCCUUUAGAUGCNAUAAAUACUUUGGAGAUGGAAUUUGGAAAAUAUUUAAAUUUCACUACAAAUGAUAUGAUCAAACACUGUCCAAAUCACAAACCAGCAACCUAACAUGUCAUUCCAUGCAUGUUAAAAGCAAGUUGAUCUGAGCAUCAGGUCGAAUCAAUUAAAAUGGUAUCCAAGAAUACCUCGUUUGAAGUGAUAUUUGAAUUGGAUACAAAUCAACUUCAAACCUAAUAGAUGUUAGCUAUAAUAGUAUACCACUUUGCAUCCUCAUGCCAUGCUCAUGCAUCAUCUUGUUGCAUAUGCUUGUUAUUGAUUGUUGUCACUCUUUUCGGUAGGCUCCGCUCCUUCGGAUUCCACCGAAUAUCCGUCUGACGGAUAUUGUCACUCCUCUGAGCAACAAGGCAAGCAACCAUUUUGAUCAUCCCGAUAAAUCCCAUGUUCUCGCUCCUGCACUUACUUAUUGCAUUAGGAUCAAAUGCUUCAAAUGCUUUUGCCACGUUAGUUGAACCCACUUCCUUUGCAUGACCUAUCCUUGUCACAGUAAAUAGCUGAACCUUGCAACCUAGCAUACCUGGUAGUUGCUUGAGCCAUGAUGUGCCUUAUCCUGCUAUGCAUGCUAUGCUUAUAGUUGUGUAUGGUUUGUCAUCUGGGAGAUGAACAGAAUUGUGAGAAUGUGUUCAGUAAGUAAAGGUUGUGUGUUGAACCUGAUUUGGUAAAGGUACCGGUGAAAGGCUGUGUAGGAGUACAUGGCGGGUUGUUUCAUUGGAACCGUCCUUAGGAACUGAGUUCCGUGUAUGUAAUCCAAGACUAGAUACUACCACACGUUGGGAUACUUAGUUGACCCUCUCGACUUAUUAAUCGCUUAGUACUCGGUCCAGGAGUUGCAAGUAGUUUCUGGUGUUUAUAGUCAUGCUAGAGGCCGUGCAUAGCGCUGACCUGAGAGGUGGGCUGUGAUGCGGUAGGCAGUGGCACGGUGUACCAAGUGGAACCCGGAUGGUGGGCUUGGGAACCAUGCGCACAUCGUUUGAGGCCGUGGCGGAAACCUCGGCCGGACUUCCGUGCGGGUUACUCUCAGAUAGGCGAUAAACCUGGACUAGGUACUAGUGUGGUUAACGGUCGUGGCCGACUCCCUCACUGGGCUUCCGCUUGAAGGUUGCUGAGGUGCAUGACGUGCACAUGGUGAUAAGUGGCGAGAGCGUGUGUGACGAAGUACACCCCUGCAGGGUUAUGAUCUAUUCGAAUAGCCGCGUCCGCGGAUAUGGACUACUUGGAGACAUAUGUUGUUCAUAGAUAACAUCAAUGGCUACUCGUAAAAUUGCCAAGAUAAGCGUGAGUGUCAUGGACGGCAUUUCCGUAUGGAGACGGAAUGGUUCCACGAUGGAGUAUUGUUGUGGUGUUAGUGGACUUGUGUGCAAGAAAUCAAGUUGUUAAAAAUUGUUUUAAAAUGUAAGUUGUCUAGCCACGAGUCAAAUGCUGGCUUUCCGCAUGAAACCCCACAAUUCCUUAUUGAUACAUUGCAUGAGUAGAUAGUUAUCCUAAAGUCUUACUGAGUACCUCCGUACUCAUGUUUGCUUAAUAAUUGUUGCAGAGGUUGUUAAUGACCCUAACGGAGGGUUCUUCCUAGACAUCGACGACGACGAGUAGUUGGUGUCCCAGCUACGAUCUGGCCCUAGGUUGGGUCUGUAGUAUAGUCAGGCCAUGUGCCUUCUAGUUUCACCUGUCUGUAC
Molecule: long non-coding RNA, 20567 nt
Filed under: Hordeum vulgare
Lineage: Eukaryota; Viridiplantae; Streptophyta; Magnoliopsida; Poales; Poaceae
Description: long non-coding RNA (HVUL_LNC018640)
Source: RNAcentral